UGGGGAAUAUUGGACAAUGGGCGAAAGCCUGAUCCAGCCAUGCCGCGUGUGUGAAGAAGGCCUUUUGGUUGUAAAGCACUUUAAGCGAGGAGGAGGCUACUUAGAUUAAUACUCUAGGAUAGUGGACGUUACUCGCAGAAUAAGCACCGGCUAACUCUGUGCCAGCAGCCGCGGUAAUACAGAGGGUGCGAGCGUUAAUCGGAUUUACUGGGCGUAAAGCGUGCGUAGGCGGCUUCUUAAGUCGGAUGUGAAAUCCCUGAGCUUAACUUAGGAAUUGCAUUCGAUACUGGGAAGCUAGAGUAUGGGAGAGGAUGGUAGAAUUCCAGGUGUAGCGGUGAAAUGCGUAGAGAUCUGGAGGAAUACCGAUGGCGAAGGCAGCCAUCUGGCCUAAUACUGACGCUGAGGUACGAAAGCAUGGGGAGCAAACAG
Molecule: ribosomal RNA, 429 nt
Filed under: Brucella melitensis
Lineage: Bacteria; Pseudomonadati; Pseudomonadota; Alphaproteobacteria; Hyphomicrobiales; Brucellaceae
Also listed under: 1 other name
Description: partial 16S ribosomal RNA
Rfam family: Bacterial small subunit ribosomal RNA
Source: RNAcentral